This 1284-nucleotide long non-coding RNA is filed under the name Meriones unguiculatus (Mongolian gerbil). Its description in RNAcentral is "lncRNA (ENSMUGG00000026111.1)". The record is from RNAcentral. Lineage: Eukaryota; Metazoa; Chordata; Mammalia; Rodentia; Muridae.
CCCAGCACAGUAUGCAAAUCCGAGCACCAGGAAGUAGCUGGGACCUCUCGGCCGAGCCCAGCGACAGCCAGUUCCUCUCCCACCGAGCCGGGCCUGGGAGCCUCCAGGCCGACGUUGUUUGCUGCAGGUCGGACACUGUCCUCCGAGCGGUGUGCCCGCAACCGCCGGACACGCGCGUCCUACGCCCCGGGCCCGCAGCCGCUUCCCAGGCGGGCCCCGUAGGGCCAACCCGUCGCGUGCGCAGCUUGGAACCGAAGUCACCGUGGAGUUCCGCCACCCCGAAACUUCCACCGCCAGCGACCUGGGGAAGAGUGUGACUCGCCGGAGCGAUCGAGCGGGGACGCGGGGGCGGCGACUCCGCAGGUGUCUGCAGCGGAGCGGCGCGGGGGCGUGGUGGGAGGUGCGCACCGGGCGGACGUCCCUGGGUCCCCGGCGUCAGCCAUCCGCGUGCCCGGCUCCAGCUUUCUGCUCUGCCGGGGAGCCUCAGUCCACCCCGAAGGGGAGCGCAGCAGGGAUUCGAGAGCGAGUGACUUGGAAUUCAGUAUCUGGUCCCCCGGUAGGACCCAGGGUCCCCAGGGAUGAGAAUGAGGAUUGACCCCGGCCUCUCUAAGGAUGGCUGACGGCUGCGGUCCCUGGUGACUCGGAGCAAGGUGGUGACGUCCAGCGGCUGCCACCAAGGCAGGAGCUCGAACUCCCGCGGAGCUCAGCUUCUCUCCGCCCCGCAGAGGAGCCGUCCGACGCCUUGGCCAAGAGGAAGCUGGAGUUAUUUUAAGAAUUCAGGGAUGCCUUUCCUUCGGGAUGGGGGAAGGGUGUAUGCCAUAGUUCCCAUUGGCCUGCCUUAUCUUGGCUAGCUGCGGUGGCUUUGCUGUUUGUGUAGGGCUUUUAUCCAAUAGCCCCGCUACUCUGGGCGCUUGUGGUCGUCUCUUCGUUUCGUUGAGUAAUCCGUGUUUGUGCUCAUUAUGCCAAUCCGCCCAACUUCCCAAAUUCCUCCGAAUUCAGGUGGGAAUCUAGGCCAUGCAGUCUCUCAGUUGUGUGCAACUGCGGAUUAUUGAAGUGCCUGGUUUGACUGUCCUCGUGAUUGACAAUUAACCUGCCCCGUAGGUUCUCGAACAUUCCCCGCGUUAUGUUAUGCAAAUGUUACUUGAUACAAACGACACUCUAUGAAAACAAAGGUCUUUGAUUAUCGGCAGUUUGAUGAUUUUUAGACCUGAGACCACAUGUCUGACUGAGCCACCUGACUUUUGAAAACCUGCUCAAUAAAUACCUGAAAGGUAUGCUGCCCCA